UGACACUCUGUUCUGGCUGUGCUCACACC
This 29-nucleotide non-coding RNA is filed under the name Mus musculus (house mouse). Lineage: Eukaryota; Metazoa; Chordata; Mammalia; Rodentia; Muridae. The record is from RNAcentral.